ACAAGUGCCAGUCCACUUUUUCUCAGCUGCACCCUCUCAGUUCAGGCAGCAGCAGUACCAGGUGUAUGUACAUAACUUCCAAGACACACGAGUGCAAUUCUGAAGCUGAUUUUCAGCCAUGGAGAGAAGAAAUGCAGGAUGCAGCCAAGAGUCAUUUUACUAAAGGCACAGGGGUAAAACGAUUGAAAGAUGGAGGUUUAAAGUGUUAUUAUAUUUGUAACUGAUUGGAUGCUUUUAUAGAGAGGACACAUCAAAGGAAAAGGUCCAUCAAAUCACAAUGUUCCGUCAGGCGUGGGGACACCUGCCUUGCUGAUAUGUCUGCAAUGUUCCAAACUGGCAAGUGCUAAACCUGCUGUGAUACUGCGGAACAAAAAUGCCAAACAACUCCGCUUUGUCUCAACAAAGAUGCAAGGAGUUAAAACGGGUGCAGCUAUGUGUUCGAACAGCUACUGGGAAUUCAGAAGAUCAUACUAUGUGCGUGAAAAUAAC
This is a long non-coding RNA of Ornithodoros turicata, 489 nucleotides long. RefSeq lists it as uncharacterized. The transcript has 3 exons. NCBI's taxonomy places the organism in Eukaryota, Metazoa, Arthropoda, Arachnida, Ixodida, Argasidae. The record is from RefSeq and is a predicted model, not a curated record.